UACGUAGGGGGCAAGCGUUGUCCGGAUUUAUUGGGCGUAAAGAGCGUGUAGGCGGCCAGACAGGUCCGUUGUGAAAACUCGAGGCUCAACCUCGAGAUGUCGGUGGAAACCGUCUGGCUAGAGUCCGGAAGAGGAGAGUGGAAUUCCCGGUGUAGCGGUGAAAUGCGCAGAUAUCAGGAGGAACACCGAUGGCGAAGGCAGGUCUCUGGGCCACUACUGACGCUGAGAAGCGAAAGCAUGGGGAGCGAACAGG
RNAcentral lists this ribosomal RNA (253 nucleotides) under uncultured bacterium. RNAcentral's name for it is "partial 16S ribosomal RNA". It matches the Rfam family "Bacterial small subunit ribosomal RNA", at positions 524 to 776 of the family's 1533-position model. The record is from RNAcentral.